Molecule: non-coding RNA, 106 nt
Organism: Acanthosepion pharaonis
Lineage: Eukaryota; Metazoa; Mollusca; Cephalopoda; Sepiida; Sepiidae
Source: the annotation of a GenBank genome assembly
CGGCAAUAUCACAUUAAAACAGUUCUUCUCGUAUGAUCACCGAAGUUAAGCAACGUCGAUACUGGUCAGUACCUAGAUGGGUGACCGCUUGGGAAUGUCAGGUGCC